Non-coding RNA from Cricetulus griseus (Chinese hamster), 73 nucleotides. The record is from Rfam. Lineage: Eukaryota; Metazoa; Chordata; Mammalia; Rodentia; Cricetidae.
GGAGAGAUGGCUCAGCAGUUAUGAGCACUGGCUGCUCUUUCAGAGGACUUGGGUUCAAUUCCCAAUUUCCACA